This 301-nucleotide long non-coding RNA is filed under the name Homo sapiens (human). Its description in RNAcentral is "non-protein coding lnc-LRRN3-3:1". The record is from RNAcentral. Lineage: Eukaryota; Metazoa; Chordata; Mammalia; Primates; Hominidae.
AGAAAUGGUUCCAAAACCACAGCUUCCUAACUCUGAUUCCAAAAUCUUCCUUCACAGAGGAACAUGCAUCAAAAUGGUUUCCUGUAGUUAGUCUCUCAUGAACACCCACUGCCCUUCUUAUUUUCAUCAUCCUUCCUCCUGUUUACACCAUCCUCCCCUACUUCCCUUCUGUGUGUUUUUCCUUCUAUUUAUUGUCUCUGUCUGGCUUUCUGUUAACUAUUCCAAACUUGAAGUCUUUCAAUUCUCUGCGGCAUUUAUUUUCUUUAAAUACCUACAGUGUUUUAUUUCUAUUUCUCCUGUU